UACGAGUUUGAUCAUGGCUCAGAUUGAACGCUGGCGGCAUGCCUAACACAUGCAAGUCGAACGGCAGCACAGCACGUAGCAAUACAUGCGGGUGGCGAGUGGCGGACGGGUGAGUAACGCGUGGGAAUCUGCCCUAUAGUGGGGGACAACCCGACGAAAGUCGGGCUAAUACCGCAUACGCCCUACGGGGAAAGGCUUCGGCCGCUAUUGGAUGAGCCCGCGUCGGAUUAGCUAGUUGGUGAGGUAAUGGCUCACCAAGGCGACGAUCCGUAGCUGGUCUGAGAGGACGAUCAGCCACACUGGGACUGAGACACGGCCCAGACUCCUACGGGAGGCAGCAGUGGGGAAUAUUGCACAAUGGGCGAAAGCCUGAUGCAGCAAUGCCGCGUGUGUGAAGAAGGCCUGCGGGUUGUAAAGCACUUUCGGUAGGGAAGAGUAAUGACGGUACCUACAGAAGAAGACACCGGCUAAACUCCGUG
RNAcentral lists this ribosomal RNA (479 nucleotides) under uncultured bacterium. Its description in RNAcentral is "bacterial SSU rRNA". It matches the Rfam family "Bacterial small subunit ribosomal RNA", at positions 1 to 507 of the family's 1533-position model. The record is from RNAcentral.